RNAcentral lists this ribosomal RNA (254 nucleotides) under uncultured bacterium. Its description in RNAcentral is "partial 16S ribosomal RNA". It matches the Rfam family "Bacterial small subunit ribosomal RNA", at positions 524 to 776 of the family's 1533-position model. The record is from RNAcentral.
UACGGAGGGUGCAAGCGUUGUCCGGAAUCACUGGGCGUAAAGGGCGCGUAGGCGGCUCAUGAAGGCUGUGGUGAAAGUCCGGGGCUCAACCUCGGAUCGGCCGUGGCGACUCGUGGGCUGGAGCACUGUAGAGGCGGGUGGAAUUCCGGGUGUAGCGGUGGGAAUGCGCAGAUAUCAGGAGGAACACCGAUGGCGAAGGCAGAUCUCUGGGCCGUAACUGACGCUGAGGAGCGAAAGCAUGGGGAGCGAACAGG